Molecule: transfer RNA, 92 nt
Filed under: Hyphomicrobiaceae bacterium
Lineage: Bacteria; Pseudomonadati; Pseudomonadota; Alphaproteobacteria; Hyphomicrobiales; Hyphomicrobiaceae
Description: tRNA-Ser
Rfam family: tRNA
About the family: Transfer RNA (tRNA) molecules are approximately 80 nucleotides in length. Their secondary structure includes four short double-helical elements and three loops (D, anti-codon, and T loops). Further hydrogen bonds mediate the characteristic L-shaped molecular structure. tRNAs have two regions of fundamental functional importance: the anti-codon, which is responsible for specific mRNA codon recognition, and the 3' end, to which the tRNAs corresponding amino acid is attached (by aminoacyl-tRNA synthetases). tRNAs cope with the degeneracy of the genetic code in two manners: having more than one tRNA (with a specific anti-codon) for a particular amino acid; and 'wobble' base-pairing, i.e. permitting non-standard base-pairing at the 3rd anti-codon position.
Source: RNAcentral
GGAGACGUGGCCGAGUGGCUGAAGGCGGCGCUUUGCUAAAGCGUUAUACUCAGAAAUGGGUAUCCAGGGUUCGAAUCCCUGCGUCUCCGCCA